UCAAAACUUCAAAAAAAUUAUUUGUGUUAUUACUCUCUAUAAUAGGUUUGAGCGUAUAAGUCCAUAUCAACCAUAUGCAGUUGUCUUGCAAACAAAAUAAAUUCCAAUGCCAUCCCUCGCAUGCUUAGGUGGUCUUGUGACAAGUCAUCCUCAUCUCAUUUUAUACACGACCAAGUUUUUGACUCAACUAAGUUGAAAAUUAAAAUGCUUCUUGACAUGACACAAGAUGAGAAGAUUUCAAUGGGUGGAACUCCAUCCUUUGAGUUUGAUGUUAUUAAGGGUGAGACACCUCUACCUCAUACCCGCUAAUGAAGCGAAAACAAAAGUCGAAAUAAAAAAUGAAAAAGUCUGUUAAGAACCUUGAGGAUUGUGUCAUAAUGGUCUAGAAGGAACUUAAGGAACUGAAACUGAUACUAUCGACCAUAAUAAAACAACUUGGAAUAGAAAAACAGGUAUGUGAUUCUUAGAAAAACAGAAGUAGUUAACAUUAUUAUUUUUAACUACUAAAUCAUGUUGAUACUCAGCAGGCCAACGAAGAAAAAGUUCCAGAAUUUGACGACUUGAUGAAGAAUGAUAUGCAAAAUGAGCAUAAGGAUGUUCAAGAUCACGAUGUGGACACAAUGAGUACACCUUCUUGGUUGAAGAUGCUGAAGGAAAAUCACAGUGAAGUUCAAAAUGAGGUGGAACAACCAUCACGAUCUUGGACAGUGAAGUUCAAAUUGAGGUCGAACAAAAACUGUGGUUUGAUUAAAGCAACUGCUUCUGACCUUGAUUGCCUUAUGUUAGUACCUCAGUUAAGUGUCAUAUGGAUUCAGGCGUAACAGAGAUUGCACCUUCAUCAUGUAUAUGUCCAUAUGUCUGUCCCGCAUGUAAAAGCAUGCAAGUGUUUACAUCUGUACUCCAGGCCGAAGACUUCAAAAGAUAAUUCCCAAUGUGAUCUAGUCAUUUACAAUCAGAUGCAUGAAUACCAAAAAGUGAAUUAGACAUACUUAAAGUUUGGAUAUCACACAAACAUACAGACAAUGAGUUAUGAGACACGAUUAUGUCACAGGUGGUUGACAAACAAGGUGUUACUAUACUUAUUAUUAUUAUUAUUAUUAUUUUAUGAUGGCAGUUAAUUGAUUUUGACAAUAA
Benincasa hispida (wax gourd) is the source of this 1134-nucleotide long non-coding RNA. RefSeq lists it as uncharacterized. The record is from RefSeq and is a predicted model, not a curated record. Lineage: Eukaryota; Viridiplantae; Streptophyta; Magnoliopsida; Cucurbitales; Cucurbitaceae.